CCUACGGGGGGCAGCAGUGGGGAAUAUUGGGCAAUGGGCGCAAGCCUGACCCAGCAACGCCGCGUGAAGGAAGAAGGCUUUCGGGUUGUAAACUUCUUUUGUCAGGGAAGAGUAGAAGACGGUACCUGACGAAUAAGCCACGGCUAACUACGUGCCAGCAGCCGCGGUAAUACGUAGGUGGCAAGCGUUGUCCGGAUUUACUGGGUGUAAAGGGCGUGUAGCCGGGUUGACAAGUCAGAUGUGAAAUCCUGCGGCUUAACCGCAGAACUGCAUUUGAAACUGGUGAUCUGGAGUACUGGAGAGGCAGACGGAAUGCCUAGUGUAGCGGUGAAAUGCGUAGAUAUUAGGCAGAACACCAAUGGCGAAGGCAGUCUGCUGGACAGCAACUGACGGUGAGGCGCGAAAGCGUGGGGAGCGAACAGGAUUAGAUACCCGGGUAGUC
Molecule: ribosomal RNA, 442 nt
Filed under: uncultured bacterium
Lineage: Bacteria
Description: partial 16S ribosomal RNA
Rfam family: Bacterial small subunit ribosomal RNA
Source: RNAcentral